UCUAAUUAUUGUUGUAUGUAUGCAUUUUGCACACUUCAUCCCCUCCUCUCCACAUAACCAAUUCUCUUCUUUCCCUCCUCUCUUACACUUAUUACCUUCUCCCCGCAUGCAUAUUUCUCAUAAUGUUGGCUUCUUCUUCUUCUACUAGAUAUAUGUAAUUCUCUGCCUUUUUUAUCACCUCAGAACCUACUUUGUGGGACUAUACUGGGUAAUUGUUGUUGUUCUGACUUCUUUGAUUUCGAGCUCCCUCUUAGAUUGAGUAUUGUCAAAUUUAGAGACUAUAGUCCUUUCUUUCUUUCCCAUGGUUCCGCUCCUCUCAAGAUGUCUUCUCGCCAAGACCUCCACUUCUUCCUCUCAAGG
This 360-nucleotide long non-coding RNA is filed under the name Nicotiana benthamiana. RNAcentral's name for it is "long non-coding RNA (NBEN_LNC021172)". Lineage: Eukaryota; Viridiplantae; Streptophyta; Magnoliopsida; Solanales; Solanaceae. The record is from RNAcentral.